CCUACGGGAGGCAGCAGUGAGGAAUAUUGGUCAAUGGGCGAGAGCCUGAACCAGCCAAGUCGCGUGAAGGAUGAAGGAUCUAUGGUUUGUAAACGUCGUUUAUAUGGGAAUAAAGUGAGGAACGUGGUCCUGUUUGUAUGUAACAUAUGAAAAAGCAUCGGCUAACGCAGUGCCAGCAGCCGCGGUAAUACGGAGGAUGAGAGCGUUAUCCGGAUUUAAUGGGUUUAAAGGGUGCGUAGGCGGGCGGUUAAGGCAGCGGGCAAAGGUCGGGGCUCAACCCCGACCUGCCGGUGAUACUGGCGGCCUCGAGUGGGCGAGAAGUGUGCGGAAUGCUUGGUGUAGCGGUGAAAUGCAUAGAUAUCACGCAGAACUCCGAUUGCGAAGGCAGCAUACCGGCGCCCGACUGACGCUGAGGCACGAAAGCGUGGGUAUCGAACAGGAUUAGAUACCCCUGUAGUC
Molecule: ribosomal RNA, 459 nt
Filed under: uncultured bacterium
Lineage: Bacteria
Description: partial 16S ribosomal RNA
Rfam family: Bacterial small subunit ribosomal RNA
Source: RNAcentral